UCUAGGGUAGUAUAUAAAGUACUAAAAAUUGCAAAUUUUUAAGUGGAAUCUCCUCCUAGUU
Molecule: transfer RNA, 61 nt
Filed under: Paracyclopina nana
Lineage: Eukaryota; Metazoa; Arthropoda; Copepoda; Cyclopoida; Cyclopettidae
Description: tRNA-Cys
Source: RNAcentral